GUGCCAGCAGCCGCGGUAAUACGGAGGAUGCAAGCGUUAUCCGGAUUCAUUGGGUUUAAAGGGUGCGCAGGCGGACUAUUAAGUCAGGGGUGAAAUCUCUCGGCUCAACCGAGAAACUGCCUUUGAUACUGAUAGUCUAGAGUAUAGUUGAAGUGGGCGGAAUGUGUCAUGUAGCGGUGAAAUGCUUAGAUAUGACACAGAACACCGAUCGCGAAGGCAGCUCGCUAAGCUAUAACUGACGCUCAUGCACGAAAGCGUGGGGAUCAAACAGGAUUAGAAACCCUUGUAGUCC
Molecule: ribosomal RNA, 292 nt
Filed under: uncultured bacterium
Lineage: Bacteria
Description: partial 16S ribosomal RNA
Rfam family: Bacterial small subunit ribosomal RNA
Source: RNAcentral